ACCCCACUUGAUCAUCUUGCUGCUCUUCCAGUUUCUAAUCCAGGGCAGACCGUCUGCACUGUUUCCUGAUUAGUCCUGACUGACAGAGCAACACGUUACAUCCCCUCUCACGCAAGAAUGAUUGGACGAGAACUUGGAAAAGGGAGACUCAUUCCGGGAGCCAGACAUGGACAUUUGUUCUACAUUUUUGGACAACCGUCUUCUAAGUCUGGGGUUCCCAAAGAGUGGGUCGGGACCCCCUGGGGGGUUGCGAGACACAAAUGUGGGGUCGUGUGAUGUCUUCCAGAAUGAUUUUUUUUAAAGUUAUCU
Notolabrus celidotus (New Zealand spotty) is the source of this 309-nucleotide long non-coding RNA. RefSeq lists it as uncharacterized. The transcript has 3 exons. The record is from RefSeq and is a predicted model, not a curated record. Lineage: Eukaryota; Metazoa; Chordata; Actinopteri; Labriformes; Labridae.